This 497-nucleotide ribosomal RNA is filed under the name uncultured bacterium. RNAcentral describes it as "partial 16S ribosomal RNA". It matches the Rfam family "Bacterial small subunit ribosomal RNA", at positions 28 to 507 of the family's 1533-position model. The record is from RNAcentral.
GAUGAACGCUGGCGGCGUGCCUAAUACAUGCAAGUCGAGCGAACAGACGAGGAGCUUGCUCCUCUGAUGUUAGCGGCGGACGGGUGAGUAACACGUGGAUAACCUACCUAUAAGACUGGGAUAACUUCGGGAAACCGGAGCUAAUACCGGAUAACAUGUUGAACCGCAUGGUUCAACAGUGAAAGACGGUCUUGCUGUCACUUAUAGAUGGAUCCGCGCCGCAUUAGCUAGUUGGUAGGGUAACGGCUUACCAAGGCAACGAUGCGUAGCCGACCUGAGAGGGUGAUCGGCCACACUGGAACUGAGACACGGUCCAGACUCCUACGGGAGGCAGCAGUAGGGAAUCUUCCGCAAUGGGCGAAAGCCUGACGGAGCAACGCCGCGUGAGUGAAGAAGGUCUUCGGAUCGUAAAACUCUGUUAUUAGGGAAGAACAAAUGUGUAAGUAACUAUGCACGUCUUGACGGUACCUAAUCAGAAAGCCACGGCUAACUACGUG